GUCACUAUUUAGAGAAGGUAACCACCCAGUCGACAGUCAUGUGGCUCCCCGAUGUGGCUCACUGAGGCCACGUCUGGAUCUGGCCUGGUGGACGGCCAAGCCCUCACACUUUGCACCGCGCGUCCGUGGCCUCUCUUCCCGACCCCGGCGAACCAUCCCCCAGGGGAGGUGUCAGCCAGGGAAGAAAUUAGGCAGCCACUAAAGUGUCAGCUCCAGGGGCACCCGCAUGGCUCCGUCAGUUAAGCAUCCGACUUCAGCUCAGGUCAUGAUCUCUGCGGUCCAUGGGUCCGAAUUCGGCAUCAAGCUCUGUGCUGACAGCUUAGAGCCUGGAGCCUGUUCCAGAUUCUGUGUGUGUGUGUGUGUGUGUGUGUGUGUGUGUGUGUGUGUCUCCCCCUCUCUGUGCACCUCCCCCGCUCGCAUUCUCUCUCCUUCUCUCAAAAAGUAAACAUUAAAAACAAUUACAGAUAAUGCCGAGAUUACAGUCAGCUCCUCUAGAGGAGCCCAACACCUCUGAGUGUAUGAAGAGGUGACAGGAUGGAAAUAGAAGGAAAGAGCAUGAAGGUCUGAAUGGGGAGAGAGGAAAGUCAAAACAGAAAGAAAGGGAGAAAUCCUGAAAAAGCAGGGAAAACCAAACACAGACCAAUGUAAAAAGGAGGGCUGGGGAAGAAGGAGCCAUGGCUUGAGAAAGAAAAGGAGACAACACCAGCGAGAAGGAUCAAGAGACCUCACGGCAGGCAAGAAAGAAGUUUCCAAGCUGCUAUAAUUCCAGGACAAAAGUUACGGUAUUGGGGGCAUACAGAGUCAACGACUGCCUCAAACUUCCCAAAUGCUUCUGUCCUACUGGAUCCACAAUCAAGAAAAACAAGACCCUGAAAAGCCUCUGCAGCACCAGACCCAAAGCUCCAACGGUCUGUGCUAAGGGCUCAUCCCCCAGGCAUUCUAUGGCCAGGUUUUAAUCCCACAUGAUCCACAGGUGACGGAAAAACCACUGGAGAAGCCUCGACUAUUCCUCUCUUUGGAAGUCGAUUUAGUGAAGCUGGGACAAAGACCGCAAUUAGAGGUUUUGAUGUGAUUACUCACACUUCAGCUACUGCAAAAGCCGAAGGGGAGAAAGAAGGGACACCACCAGAUCUAAUUGGUACUUGCUCUCACCACACUGCCUCCGCCCGGGGACGGGUGGAGUCAGGUCUGCAAGCUGCCCGAUGCGCCCCUGAAGACACCUGCUGCUAGCCAACACCAUGAACUUCCCGAAGACAGGCAGUCUAUGUGGCCAGCUCCUGGGCAAGACCUCCGUCACAACCAGCUCGCAGCGUCACAACUAGCAGGCGCAGGCAGCGGCUCCCAGAGGGAGUGUUGCGGCUGCUGGGGCAGGGUGCGCUGAGAGUGGACACCUGCACUGUUUGCUUUUGUUUGACCCCAGACAAAGCCUGGGGCACACCCAGAAAGGGGGGACAGGGCUUUCAGUGUAAGCGGCUGCGGAGAGCUGGGCGAGGUCUUAGAAAAUGGAAGUAGGACAGAGCCGGCCUGGGACGGCAAUCUCCUUCACCAACUCACUCUGCUAAGGGGCCAGCUUCAACUUACAGUGACUGAAUCAUUGAUGAGGUUCAGUCAAAAGUUUGAUUUUGACCUUUCAGUUGCUUGUCGUAUCUUAAAAUACACAGAGAUAACAUGAAAAGUU
Long non-coding RNA from Leopardus geoffroyi (Geoffroy's cat), 1678 nucleotides. RefSeq lists it as uncharacterized. The record is from RefSeq and is a predicted model, not a curated record. The transcript is spliced from 2 exons. Lineage: Eukaryota; Metazoa; Chordata; Mammalia; Carnivora; Felidae.